UUGGCGAUGCGUCUUAAGCAUGCAAGUCGAGCGGGCUUAUUCGGGCAACUGGAUAAGUUAGCGGCGAACUGGUGAGUAACACGUAGGUAAUCUGCCGUAGAGUGGGGGAUAACCCAUGGAAACAUGGACUAAUACCGCAUAUACUCUUGCUACAUAAGUAGAGUAGAGGAAAGGAGCAAUCCGCUUUACGAUGAGCCUGCGGCCUAUUAGCCUGUUGGUGGGGUAACGGCCUACCAAAGCUACGAUAGGUAGCCGACCUGAGAGGGUGACCGGCCACAUUGGGACUGAGAUACGGCCCAGACUCCUACGGGAGGCAGCAGCUGAGAAUCUUCCACAAUGGACGAAAGUCUGAUGGAGCGACAUCGCGUGAGGGAUGAAGGCCUUCGGGUUGUAAACCUGGAAAUUAUCGAAGAAUGAGUGACAGUAGAUAAUGUAAGCCU
RNAcentral lists this ribosomal RNA (440 nucleotides) under Brachyspira hyodysenteriae. RNAcentral describes it as "bacterial SSU rRNA". It matches the Rfam family "Bacterial small subunit ribosomal RNA", at positions 37 to 493 of the family's 1533-position model. Lineage: Bacteria; Pseudomonadati; Spirochaetota; Spirochaetia; Brachyspirales; Brachyspiraceae. The record is from RNAcentral.